AAACCGGAACGCGCAGUCGCCGCCGGUCUUCAGGACCGGCGGAGGAAAGUCCGAACAUCGCAGGGCAGGGUGCCGGCCGAGAGUUGAAUCUCAAGUCCGGGGGCGGAGGCGCAAGCCCGUCGCCACAGAGAGUGCAACAGAAAGCAAACCGCCCCGGUUUUCCGGGGUAAGGGUGAAACGGGGGUGUAAGAGACCACCAGACGCGUCAGUAAUGGCGCGUGCUAUGAAAACCUCCCCGAUGCAAGGCCAAAUAGGGAAACUUUCCCGCAAGGGUAGAGAGUUGCCCGCUCAAUUCCAAAGGGCGCCUCUGCCGGUUGUCGCGAGCAGAACGAGCAGCAAGCCGGCAGAGGCGCCCCGAAGAGAGUUUCCGGGUGAGCCGCAUAGAUAAAUGACUGCACCCCGCUCCGGCGGGGAACGGAAUUCGGCUUACAGUUCCGGUUUCAUU
Molecule: RNase P RNA, 445 nt
Filed under: Prosthecochloris sp. GSB1
Lineage: Bacteria; Pseudomonadati; Chlorobiota; Chlorobiia; Chlorobiales; Chlorobiaceae
Description: Chlorobium bathyomarinum Bacterial RNase P class A
Rfam family: Bacterial RNase P class A
About the family: Ribonuclease P (RNase P) is a ubiquitous endoribonuclease, found in archaea, bacteria and eukarya as well as chloroplasts and mitochondria. Its best characterised activity is the generation of mature 5'-ends of tRNAs by cleaving the 5'-leader elements of precursor-tRNAs.
Source: Rfam by way of RNAcentral